UGUAACUUGCGAUAAGCCCCGGUGAGCCAGUACACAGGCUAUGACCCGAGGAUUUCCGAAUGGGGAAACCCGACAUUUAUGUCACCACUUUUGUGGAGCAAACCCGGAGAACUGAAACAUCUUAGUACCCGGAGGAAAAGAAAUCAAUCGAGAUUCCGUUAGUAGUGGCGAGCGAAAGCGGAACAGCCCUUAAGCUAUAUUUUGUCUAGUAGAAUGUUAUGGAAAGAACAGCCAUAGUAGGUGAUAGCCCUGUAUACGAAAGACUUAUUAUAGUGAAAUCGAGUAGGUCGGAACACGUGAAAUUUUGACUGAAUAUGGGAGGACCAUCUUCCAAGGCUAAAUACUCCUAGAUGACCGAUAGUGAACAAGUACCGUGAGGGAAAGGUGAAAAGUCCCCCUGUUAGGGGAGUGAAAUAGUACCUGAAAUCUUUAGCAUACAAUCAGUCAGAGCCCUUCGGGGUGAUGGCGUACCUUUUGUAUAAUGGGUCAGCGACUUAAUUUCAGUAGCAAGCUUAACGCAAGGUAGGCGUAGGGAAACCGAGUCUUAAAUGGGCGAUUUAGUUGCUGGAAUUAGACCCGAAACCAAGCGAUCUAUCCAUGGUCAGGUUGAAGUGUGAGUAACAUCACAUGGAGGACCGAACCCACUUAUGUUGAAAAAUGAGGGGAUGAACUGUGGAUAGGGGUGAAAGGCCAAUCAAGCUUGGAGAUAGCUGGUUCUCUCCGAAAACUAUUUAGGUAGUGCCUCUUGUAUUACCAAUGGGGGUAGAGCACUGUUUCGGCUAGGGGGUCAUCCCGACUUACCAAACCGAUGCAAACUCCGAAUACCAUUGAGUAUUAGCAAGGGAGACAGACUGCGGGUGAUAACGUCCGUGGUCGAAAGGGAAACAACCCAGACCAACAGCUAAGGUCCCAAAUUAUGAUUAAGUGGAAAACGAUGUGAAUAGACUUAUACAGCUAGGAGGUUGGCUUAGAAGCAGCCAUCCUUUAAAGAAAGCGUAAUAGCUCACUAGUCUAGUUUGUCUGCGCGGAAGAUUUACCGGGGCUAAAUCAUAAACCGAAGCUUUGGAUCAUCUUCGGAUGAUGGUAGGAGAGCGUUCUGUAAGCCUGUGAAGGUGAACCGAGAGGUUUGCUGGAGGUAUCAGAAGUGCGAAUGCUGACAUGAGUAACGAAUAAAGAGGUGAAAAACCUCUUCGCCGGAAGACUAAGGAUUCCUGUCCAACGCUUUUCGUGGCAGGGUUAGUCGGCCCCUAAGGCGUACCCGAAAGGGGAAGUCGAUGGGAAACAGGUUAAUAUUCCUGUACCAGUUGGAAGUGACGGAUCUAGUAAAUUGUAUGCACUUAUUGGAUUGUGCAUGCAGUGAAUAGGUUCCAAGAAAUAGCUCCAACAUAGACCGUACCAUAAACCGACACAGGUGGUCAGGUAGAGAAUACCGAGGCGGAUGAGAUAACUCUGGUGAAGGAACUAGGCAAAAUGUAACCGUAACUUCGGGAGAAGGUUAGCCAAUUAGAAGGCAACUUUUAAUUGGUCGAAGAUACCAGGUGGCUGCGACUGUUUACUAAAAACACAGCACUCUGCUAACACGAAAGUGGACGUAUAGGGUGUGACGCCUGCCCGGUGCCGGAAGGUUAAAUGAUGGGGUUAGCUUCGGCGAAGCUCUUGAUUGAAGCCCCGGUAAACGGCGGCCGUAACUAUAACGGUCCUAAGGUAGCGAAAUUCCUUGUCGGGUAAGUUCCGACCUGCACGAAUGGCGUAACGAUGGCCACACUGUCUCCACCAGAG
RNAcentral lists this ribosomal RNA (1779 nucleotides) under marine metagenome. RNAcentral's name for it is "bacterial LSU rRNA". It matches the Rfam family "Bacterial large subunit ribosomal RNA", at positions 60 to 2030 of the family's 2925-position model. The record is from RNAcentral.